UUAGACAAAAGAUACCGAAAAGUGGUUCAGGCAGUUGAUGUCAUUCAAUUGUUGCUAAUCAUUUCAUUGCAUUACAGUAUUUUAAGUCUUAUAAACCUCUUCUCUCCAGAAGCUUUAGGCGGAAUUUAAGAUCAAAAUAUAACAGAGAUCGUUAUUAAAACAACGGCAUCACACAAAAACCUUAGAAGCAGAUUUUCAUCUUCCUGCUUAAUCAAGCCAGGUCUUAAGUAGUGAUUUAUUGAUUUAUUAUCUAACUGAGAUAUCUGUUGGUUUGCUGGGUGAAGUCCAGUCAAUGUGUUU
This is a long non-coding RNA of Thamnophis elegans (Western terrestrial garter snake), 300 nucleotides long. RefSeq lists it as uncharacterized. NCBI's taxonomy places the organism in Eukaryota, Metazoa, Chordata, Lepidosauria, Squamata, Natricidae. The record is from RefSeq and is a predicted model, not a curated record. The transcript is spliced from 2 exons.